CCCUUAGAUGUCCGGGGCCGCACGCGCGCUACACUGAAGGAAUCAGCGUGGCUCUGUCCCUGGUCCGAAAGGAUUGGGAAACCCGUUGAAUCUCCUUCGUGAUAGGGAUUGGGGCUUGGAACUGUUCCCCAUGAACGAGGAAUUCCCAGUAAGCGCGAGUCAUAAGCUCGCGUUGAUUACGUCCCUGCCCUUUGUACACACCGCCCGUCGCUCCUACCGAUUGAAUGGUCCGGUGAAGCGUUCGGACCGUGGCCUUUGGACGGUUCGCCGUCUGUUGGCUGCGGGAAGUUCGUUAAACCUUAUCAUUUAGAGGAAGGAGAAGUCGUAACA
RNAcentral lists this ribosomal RNA (330 nucleotides) under uncultured eukaryote. Its description in RNAcentral is "partial 18S ribosomal RNA". It matches the Rfam family "Eukaryotic small subunit ribosomal RNA", at positions 1470 to 1796 of the family's 1831-position model. The record is from RNAcentral.